GUGAAUCAUCGAGUCUUUGAACGCACAUUGCGCCCAUUAGUAUUCUAGUGGGCAUGCCUGUUCGAGCGUCAUUUCAACCCUUAAGCCUAGCUUAGUGUUGGGAGACUGCCUAAUACGCAGCUCCUCAAAACCAGUGGCGGUAGUCGGUUCGUGCUCUGAGCGUAGUAAUUCUUUAUCUCGCUUCUGCAAGCCGGACUGGCAACAGCCAUGAAACCGCACCCUUCGGGGGCACUUUUUUAAUGGUUGACCUCGGAUCAGGUAGGAAUACCCGCUGAACUUAAGCAUAUCAAUAAGCGGAGG
Molecule: ribosomal RNA, 300 nt
Filed under: uncultured fungus
Lineage: Eukaryota; Fungi
Description: eukaryotic LSU rRNA
Rfam family: 5.8S ribosomal RNA (bases 1-71)
Source: RNAcentral